Molecule: ribosomal RNA, 250 nt
Filed under: uncultured Archaeorhizomycetes
Lineage: Eukaryota; Fungi; Ascomycota; Archaeorhizomycetes
Description: partial 28S ribosomal RNA
Rfam family: Eukaryotic large subunit ribosomal RNA
Source: RNAcentral
GGAGUCAUGGAGGGUGAGAACCCCGUCUGUGACUCGGAUCCCAUGGUCCUAGUGUCGCGGUCUCCAAGAGUCGGGUUGUUUGGGAAUGCAGCUCAAAAUGGGUGGUAAAUCUCAUCUAAAGCUAAAUAUUGGCGAGAGACCGAUAGCAAACAAGUAGAGUGAUCGAAAGAUGAAAAGCACUUUGAAAAGAGAGUGAAACAGUACGUGAAAUUGUUGAAAGGGAAGCGUUUGGCAUCAGCCCAUGGCCUCC